GUGCAUAGAAGUGUCAGGUUUUUUGAAAUCAUACAAAAGAUUCCUCUUAUCUCUCACAUUAAUUAUCAAUCCACCUUUUUUUCAAAAAAGAAAACAAAAUGAUCAAAUAAAAAAAGAUAGUAAAGAUAUUAAAAGGAAAUAAAAUCAUAAAGGAGAUCUCAUAAUUUUCUCUCUUAGAGAACUCACGGUUCUCUUUCUAUUUCAUAACCAUCACUUUAUUUCUCUUUUUUUUUAACACAAAAUAGUAAGAGGUUAAAGAAAAGGAACAUGGCAGCAAAGAGGAACUCACGGCGGCUCACAUGGAGAUCAUAGCUGCCGGAGCUUCUCCGACGCGGUGGCCGGAGGUGAAAAAUUCCCGAAUGCAAUUUUUUUUACAUAUUUGGGGAAUAGCAAUCAAUGGAUGGAAUCGUUAUCAGAGACUGAUUCUCAACCUUUUGGUGCAAAGAAAUGAGAGAACGGCGGUGGUUUAAUUUUCCGGCGCGGAGGUGGCGAUUUCCAGUGGUGGUCCAGUGAGGAUUUCCGGCGAGGGAAGGUUCAGAAAAACAUGGAUGAAAUCUUGAAGAUUAUGGAGCUUGGAAGAUUCAAAGGAAGACAUAAGCAUGGACAUGGAGAAAUAUUGAAGAAAAUGGUGUGGACUUGGAAUAUUUUGAAUUUUUUCUUGGGUAAACAUAAUGAUGUAACUUUGAGAAUCCGUCCACCUUGUAAUUUGGAAUGAGUUAUGAACUUGAAUGGACUUUCUUGGAUUUGAAGCUUCGAAAUUUGUAUGUUGAAUGAUCAUAAAAUUGAAACUCUUACUUGAAUGGAAA
Molecule: long non-coding RNA, 806 nt
Organism: Vicia villosa (hairy vetch)
Lineage: Eukaryota; Viridiplantae; Streptophyta; Magnoliopsida; Fabales; Fabaceae
Exons: 3
Source: RefSeq, a predicted model, not a curated record